CAGGACAAUAGAAAGACGGAAAGAAGGAAGGAGAGAAAAGAGAGAGAAGGGAGGGAAAAGGACAAAAGAAACAAGGAGGGAGGGAGGAAAAGAAAGAAAGAGAGAAGUAAUGAAGGAAGGAAGAAAAAGGAGAAAGGAGUGAGGGAGAAGGACAAAAAAAAAAAAACAGAAGGGAGGGAGGAGCAGCCAGCCCCAAAGAGCGAGCCCGUUGAAGAAAGAAAAGAGGAAAAGAGAAAGAAAACAGAAAGAUGGGAGUGAGAAGAGGUGGAAGAAAGGAAGGAAAGGAGAGAGAGGGAGAGGGAGAGAAAAGGAAGGGAUGAAAGAGAGAGAGAAAAAAAGGGGGGGAAAGGAAGGAAAGGAGGGCGAGAGAGAGGGAGAAGGAAUAAAGGAAACAAAACAAAACAAAAAGUCCUUCUCAUGACUCUGGAAGUCCUGUGCUGAACUAUUCAGAGCUGGGACUGCAGUAAAACCAUUCAGCUAAUGGCCGAUGUUGCAGAAAAGAAAGGAUCUGACAGCUCUGGAAAGACUUUAUGGCCAAGAGGAGAUUCCAGGAUGAAGGAAUAGUAAUUGCACAAAUAGCCUCGUCCACUCAUGGAAUGAUCACGUCUUGUGAAUGGAAAGUGGCCCUUCAGUGCUGAUCAAGUGUUUACUCAACUUAAAUCUCACAUUAGGGGUGUGCACGAACCAUUCAAUGCCAAACUGGUUCAGCAGCUUGAUUGUGAAACAAACCAGGGAUGGUACGGUCCGCAAUCAAACUGAACCAAGCCUGGUUUGGGUGAACUGGUUUGGCAUUGAGUGGGUGGUCAAGGGGUAGCAAGAGAAGUAGUUUAAAGGUCUUACUUGUCCAGAGGACCUGCCAGUGCCACCUCUCACCCCCCUGGUGCAGCCAAAUCUCAUGCAAUGCCUCUUUAGCAAGCUGCCCGCAUGGCGGUGGCACAGAUCCAGAUGCAUGGAGGCCAUGCAAAUGUGGCCUCACCAGAUUCCUCUUUACAAAUACAACCACUCAAACCGCCAAACUGGUUUGGUCAAACAGACCGAACCAGCCGGUUCUGUCCGAACAACAAUUUUUGGCUGGUGCACACCCCUACCUUAGAAAACUAAUGGCUGGCUUUGCAAAAACAAGGUACCUGAAUAUCUUCAACUAUACAUGAACGUAGCGAGUGAGCUGUCCCUUCUCAAUGAGCUAGUUCUGAGGACUGAUUGUUUGGUGGUGCCAACCUCCUUAAAAGCAAAACUGAUCAAAAUUUCUCACCAAGGUCACCUCGGCAUGAGCUUGACUAGAAGGUGGAUCAGAGAAAGCUUUUGGUGGCCAAGUAUGGACAAACACUUUGGAAAUGUAAUCCAGCACUGUGUGGCUUGUUCUGGAUCUGACAAAUCCUAGAAGACUUUUACCACCCCCUUGACUCCAAUAGAGUAUCCUGAUGGUCUCUGGGGAAAACUUGUUCUGGAUAUAAUAGGGACUUUUGAUAACCAACCUGCAAAACAAAGAUUUGUUAUAAUGAUGGUGGAUUACUAUUCCAGAUGGCCAAAAGUUUCAUUUGCUGACAACAUUACCACAAACAAGGUGAUCCUGUUCAUGGCUGCAGUUUUUGUGAUAGAAGGGCUUCCUAAAUAACUAGUGACUAACAAUGGGACACAGCUUACCUCGUUUGAAAUGGAGCAAUACUUGCAUAACCAUGGGAUAAAACACAAGAAUCUUUCUUUGUUCCUUCCUCAAGGGACUGGUUUAAUGGAAAGAAUGAACAGAUUAUUGAAAGAAAGUUUACAACUGGCUGUUAUGCAAUCCAUGAAACUAUUUGCUAAUUGAACUUCUUAUUCUACUACUGGAAAAUCACCUUUUGAACUUCUGAAAGGACACAAAGCUAUGGCCAGACUUAUCAUAUGGCAACAACUGAUAUGGCUUUCCAUGCUAUCUCACCCUGAGGAUGCAGAGAUUUGUGACCAGAUAAGGGAGAAGCAACAAAAAUAUAAACUGUAUAUUGAUCAGAAAUGGGAUGCAAAACAGCAGACAUUUCAAUUUGGGGACUUUGUUAUAAAGUGUUUAUAAAGUGUGAAAGGGAUGUUCCCGAUAUUUUAGACCAGAACAAAUAAUCAAAAUCCAAGGAGAUUCUGUCGUAUUGGAUGAUGGAAAGAAAUGGAACAAUUCAAGGCUUUCCAGCAUGCAUACUAUGAGACAAGAGGGAGGGGAGUCUGAUCUCAAGAGUGGAACUGAAGAGGAAUUUGAUCCUGCCUCUAGUUUAGACCUCGCAGAUGAGGCUGAUGAAAACGAUGGACAACCCUCGGUACCAGAACAAAUAGCUCCUGUGCCAGAGAACCUAAGAAUUAGGAGAAAUGUAUGUGACAGGAGACCACCUAAAAGAUUUAAAGACUUUGUUACUACAUUUUAAAAAUAAUUCAAUUUUGGUUGUUAUAAAGAAGAGGAAUUUGUUGUAUUCUGUCUAGUUAUCUUUUGUGUUUUGUUGUCUCGAGGUUUUUCCCAGUAGGGGUCCUGUAGAGAAUGGGUGUGUGUGUGAAGUCAGAAAGGAAAGGGGAGGAAAUGGAGUUGUUGCUGAAUAAACCUUUAGCUAAAUCUAUCUAGUUUUCUUUGUGUGUAUGAGGCAAGCAGCUAUAAAACACAUCUCUAGGGAACAUACCAUAUCUCCCCCAGUCUUUUCAUUAAGACAACCUGUCCGACUACACAGUGGAAUCUCCUUUACCCAGUCUACCUGAGCUUGCAGAAUCCGGCCUCAGGAUAGGGAUAGGGAGGGGUUAAGCGUCACUCUGAGUCUCCUCAGAGUGAGGAGCUUGUUCGCUCCUCAUGCGGGCCUCUCUCCGGAGGACCCAGCACUCAUCCACUGCCAGCCACUCAUCCCUGGCCAGCUCCUUAAAUGCUCCCUCUCAGGAUGUGCACCUCCCACCUCCAAUUAUGGGGCCAAUGCCCCUCUUUAUUAGCCCAUUAUCGCUAGCAGCUGUGCUCCCCUUCAUCCCUGUUCCGCCCUCCUUCCCUUCAUGCCCCAUCCCUUUGGGUGACAUCACUCCCGCUUGCCUCCCCUGGAGCUCUCCCUGGCCUUGGCUUCCUGCCCACAGUGCUGCUCGGCUGGGAGGCUGGUUGGGCCCAGGGUUGGACUCAUCGACAUGCCACCCUCCUUCCUUGUCUGCCUGCUGCCUGCUUCUGCAGAUUUGGACUACUGCCCAGCUUCAUCCUUGUCAGUAAGGGCGGCCGGUGUGACCAGACACAACCACAGCAAAGUUCUGUGGACAGCAUGAGUAAGGCCUACUAAGGUUAUUUGGGCUUUGCAUGCGGUUAGCCUGCAAAAUGGGUUGGGUUUAGCCUGCUUGUAAAAUGAAUCUGAAAGAUCCUUGUAUAUAUGAAAUUCAAAAUGCAUGGGUUUAGCCUGCUUAGAAAAUGUAUCUAAAAUAUAGAUAUGUAAUUCAUAUAUGGUGAAAAUCCCAUUCCCAAAUACUCCUUUGUGCAAUCUUUAAUAUGGCACUGAGAUCACACUUUGAAAAGAUCGACAUCUUUCAGGGGAGGAAACAAACUUUGUAUACUGUCAUUUGUUGUUAUUAAGACAAGAAAAAUGUUUGACAAUGGGUGGCCUCCAUGGUUUCCCUUCUUCAAGAAUAAAUUGUCUCCUCUGAAAAAAAAAGGA
Molecule: long non-coding RNA, 3629 nt
Organism: Hemicordylus capensis (graceful crag lizard)
Lineage: Eukaryota; Metazoa; Chordata; Lepidosauria; Squamata; Cordylidae
Exons: 3
Source: RefSeq, a predicted model, not a curated record